Molecule: ribosomal RNA, 439 nt
Filed under: uncultured bacterium
Lineage: Bacteria
Description: bacterial SSU rRNA
Rfam family: Bacterial small subunit ribosomal RNA
Source: RNAcentral
GCUUAACGCGAAGAACCUUACCAGCCCUUGACAUGGUCGGACGGUUACCAGAGAUGGUUUCCUUCACUUCGGUGACUGACACACAGGUGCUGCAUGGCUGUCGUCAGCUCGUGUCGUGAGAUGUUGGGUUAAGUCCCGCAACGAGCGCAACCCUCGCCCUUAGUUGCCAUCAUUCAGUUGGGCACUCGUAAGGGGACUGCCGGUGAUAAGCCGGAGGAAGGUGGGGAUGACGUCAGGUCUUCAUGGCCCUUACGGGCUGGGCUACACACGUGCUACAAUGGUGGUGACAGAGGGCUGCUAGGCCGCGAGGCCAUGCUAAUCCCAAAAAGCCAUCUCAGUUCGGAUUGCACUCUGCAACUCGGGUGCAUGAAGUCGGAAUCGCUAGUAAUCGCAGAUCAGCACGCUGCGGUGAAUACGUUCCCGGGUCUUGUACACACCG